RNAcentral lists this ribosomal RNA (252 nucleotides) under uncultured bacterium. RNAcentral describes it as "partial 16S ribosomal RNA". It matches the Rfam family "Bacterial small subunit ribosomal RNA", at positions 524 to 776 of the family's 1533-position model. The record is from RNAcentral.
UACGUAGGUCCCGAGCGUUGUCCGGAUUUAUUGGACGUAAAGCGAGCGCAGGUGGUUUAUUAAGUCUGGUGUAAAAGGCAGUGGCUCAACCAUUGUAUGCAUUGGAAACUGGUAGACUUGAGUGCAGGAGAGGAGAGUGGAAUUCCAUGUGUAGCGGUGAAAUGCGUAGAUAUAUGGAGGAACGCCGGUGGCGAAAGCGGCUCUCUGGCCUGUAACUGACACUGAGGCUCGAAAGCGUGGGGAGCAAACAGG